RNAcentral lists this ribosomal RNA (605 nucleotides) under Bacillus pumilus. RNAcentral describes it as "bacterial SSU rRNA". It matches the Rfam family "Bacterial small subunit ribosomal RNA", at positions 555 to 1160 of the family's 1533-position model. Lineage: Bacteria; Bacillati; Bacillota; Bacilli; Caryophanales; Bacillaceae. The record is from RNAcentral.
UGGGCGUAGAGGGCUCGCAGGCGGUUUCUUAAGUCUGAUGUGAAAGCCCCCGGCUCAACCGGGGAGGGUCAUUGGAAACUGGGAAACUUGAGUGCAGAAGAGGAGAGUGGAAUUCCACGUGUAGCGGUGAAAUGCGUAGAGAUGUGGAGGAACACCAGUGGCGAAGGCGACUCUCUGGUCUGUAACUGACGCUGAGGAGCGAAAGCGUGGGGAGCGAACAGGAUUAGAUACCCUGGUAGUCCACGCCGUAAACGAUGAGUGCUAAGUGUUAGGGGGUUUCCGCCCCUUAGUGCUGCAGCUAACGCAUUAAGCACUCCGCCUGGGGAGUACGGUCGCAAGACUGAAACUCAAAGGAAUUGACGGGGGCCCGCACAAGCGGUGGAGCAUGUGGUUUAAUUCGAAGCAACGCGAAGAACCUUACCAGGUCUUGACAUCCUCUGACAACCCUAGAGAUAGGGCUUUCCCUUCGGGGACAGAGUGACAGGUGGUGCAUGGUUGUCGUCAGCUCGUGUCGUGAGAUGUUGGGUUAAGUCCCGCAACGAGCGCAACCCUUGAUCUUAGUUGCCAGCAUUCAGUUGGGCACUCUAAGGUGACUGCCGGUGACA